RNAcentral lists this ribosomal RNA (492 nucleotides) under uncultured bacterium. RNAcentral describes it as "partial 16S ribosomal RNA". It matches the Rfam family "Bacterial small subunit ribosomal RNA", at positions 29 to 507 of the family's 1533-position model. The record is from RNAcentral.
AGUGAACGCUGGCGGUAGGCCUAACACAUGCAAGUCGAACGGCAGCACAGUAAGAGCUUGCUCUUACGGGUGGCGAGUGGCGGACGGGUGAGGAAUACAUCGGAAUCUACUUUUUCGUGGGGGAUAACGUAGGGAAACUUACGCUAAUACCGCAUACGACCUACGGGUGAAAGCAGGGGAUCUUCGGACCUUGCGCGAUUGAAUGAGCCGAUGUCGGAUUAGCUAGUUGGCGGGGUAAAGGCCCACAAAGGCGACGAUCCGUAGCUGGUCUGAGAGGAUGAUCAGCCACACUGGCACUGAGACACGGUCCAGACUCCUACGGGAGGCAGCAGUGGGGAAUAUUGGACAAUGGGCGCAAGCCUGAUCCAGCCAUACCGCGUGGGUGAAGAAGGCCUUCGGGUUGUAAAGCCCUUUUGUUGGGAAAGAAAAGCAGCAGGUUAAUACCCCGCUGUUCUGACGGUACCCAAAGAAUAAGCACCGGCUAACUUCGUG